Molecule: ribosomal RNA, 253 nt
Filed under: uncultured bacterium
Lineage: Bacteria
Description: partial 16S ribosomal RNA
Rfam family: Bacterial small subunit ribosomal RNA
Source: RNAcentral
GACGUAGGGCGCGAGCGUUGUCCGGAUUUAUUGGGCGUAAAGAGCUUGUAGGCGGUUUGUCGCGUCUGCUGUGAAAACGCGAGGCUCAACCUCGCGCCUGCAGUGGGUACGGGCAGACUAGAGUGCGGUAGGGGAGAUUGGAAUUCCUGGUGUAGCGGUGGAAUGCGCAGAUAUCAGGAGGAACACCGAUGGCGAAGGCAGAUCUCUGGGCCGUUACUGACGCUGAGGAGCGAAAGCGUGGGGAGCGAACAGG